Molecule: ribosomal RNA, 70 nt
Filed under: Coolia monotis
Lineage: Eukaryota; Dinophyceae; Peridiniales; Ostreopsidaceae
Description: partial 5.8S ribosomal RNA
Source: RNAcentral
GUGAAUCAAUUCAUUUUUGAACGCCUCCUGCAUCUUUGGGAUAUGCUUGAAGAUUUGUUUGAUUCAAUGU